GCAGGGUACCAAUUCUCAACCUCCAGGACAGCUGGCAUCACGAAGAUGGUGUGAGACUGUAUUAUGCUUCUGAAGGACAGCCUGGCCGUGUUGGGGAGCCUCUCAGACCUACCCAGCUCGGUAUGCAGUGCCUCAGAACCCCUUCCCCAGCAUGCUGGUCCCCAGCCGCCGGUUGCAGGCAGCCGAAGCUGCGCGGUUUCGUGGUUCUCCUGCAUCUGCUGUUGAUAUUUCCCGGUGGGUGCAAGGCUGACACCAGCGAAGCAAAUAAAUUCUUCAGUCCUAGAAACAGCAGAAAGCCCAGCAUGGCUCAGCCCAGCCCUUUGGAUGGGAAUAACAGACACCUUCCAACUUCUGACAGCGGGGACAGGAAACUGAUGGAUGUCUUAAUAUAUUUACGCCUGGCGUCUUGAGCAAGCGCUGUGCUGGUGGGAAGGGAUAUGUUUGCAAUUAAAGCCAAUGAGUUAGCUGAGGGUUUUUUUCCCUCCCUUUUUUAUCCUUUUUAUUGUGUUUUGCUCUGUCUUUUUAAAAGGGAAAAAAAAAAAAAAAAGAGAGAGAAAGAACUUAGGAGUUUUCAAUAGUACAGAAUUGCUUUUGGAAAGGAGAAUCUGCCGAACCAAAAGCAGCUCUUUUGCAAGUAGGGAAAUAAGGAUGCUAAGAUCUCCCUCUCUUUUCCUGCUCUCAGUCAUCCAAUGAUUUGAUUAAAACAAAAUCAAAAACUUUAGAAAUAUUAAAACCUAGUAAAAGAAACCCCCCUAAAUGUAAUAAUGAUAACAUAGACAUUUUAAUCUUAGGAGCAUUUAUCUCUCCUUUGUAUUUAACAAUCCAAAGUCCUCAUUUCUGGAGCUUCACAGAAUACAUCACAAUAUUUUGACUAUUAAUUUGUUCUUCCCCCUCUUUUUUUUCUCCCAAGGAAUAAGAGAGUUAUUAAUUAUACUCUUAUCCUUAAGUGCUAGUAAAGCUUUAAGUUAACAUUUCCUAAUAGGCAUUUAAUUCUGAUUUAAUAAGACAAUUAUUGUAUUAUAAACAAAUAUCCAUUGAUUAUUAAACACAUUUAUUUUGGAUUAGCAGCAGUUCCAUAGAUAUGAUAGCCAUUAAACAUCAAUGAAAAGACUUCCAUUAACAAACUGAUUUAUUUACCAUGGCAUAAGUGUUCUGUUCAAUCUAAAUUAAAUAUCUAUUUGGGAAUCCUUGUUACCAAAGGCAGCUCCGUGUUUGAAUGAGGCACAAAAAGCAUUUCCAGUUCAGAUUGGUGAGAUGCAAUCUCAGAAAUAAUCAAUCUGUACAUAUAAAAAAAGAGACUUUGGUUACUGCCAGAUAACUAAUUAUACAGGCACAGCCUUUGUGCAUGUCUGUGUGAGAUAUUCUUUGUUAUUUCCUUUCUUCUGAACUUUGAUGCUGUUUAAAAAUAAAUUGGAUUACCCAGUGGUUAUUUA
Molecule: long non-coding RNA, 1433 nt
Organism: Pogoniulus pusillus (Red-fronted tinkerbird)
Lineage: Eukaryota; Metazoa; Chordata; Aves; Piciformes; Lybiidae
Exons: 2
Source: RefSeq, a predicted model, not a curated record